UAAUAAUAGGUUUACUUUAUUUGUUUGUGUUAUAUUUUUCUUAGAAAUAACUUUAUUUUUAGUAGGUUUUACUGAAAGAAUAAUUUUAGUGAUAGUAAAUUGUACCGUAAGGGUAUAUUUUUAAUUUAUUAAAAGUAGUUUUAUUUUAAUGUACCUUUUGUAUCAGGGUUAAUCAAAUUAUUUUAUUUAUUUAAUUUUCCCGAAAUUAGGGGAGAUAUUAUUAUAUGUUAGUUAAUGUGUCACAAUUAUUAAUAAUAUAGUGAUAGUAAUGAUAAGUUAUUCGUUCUUAAAUAUCUGGUUUUCCAGGAAUUGAAUUCAAUUCAGAAUUAUAAUAUUAAUUUUCUAAUUUUAAUUAGAUUAUUAUUUAUAAUUUAAGAUUUAUGGGGAUAAGCUCAUAAUUUUUUUAUAAUUUUUAUUUAUGUAUUGGUUUUUGUAGGCUUGGAAUCAGCCAUCCUUAAUUUCGUUAUAGAUUAUUCCUUAAUUUUUUUUAUUUUUUAAAAUUUAAUUUUUUACUGGAAUGAUGUAUUUAAUUUAUAAUUAUUUGUAAUAAUGAUUAAAUUAGUAUAUAUGUAAGUUGAAGUAUAGUAAUUCGGCAAAUUUUGUGUUCGCCUGUUUAACAAAAACAUGUCCUUUUGAUUUUAUAUUUAAGGUUUGACCUGCCCAAUGAGGUUUUUAAUGGCCGCGGUAUAUUAACCGUGCUAAGGUAGCAUAAUCAUUUGUCUUUUAAUUGAGGGCUUGUAUGAAGGGUCGGACGAGGCACAUGCUUUCUUUAUUUCAAUAUUAGAAUUUAUUUUUUUAGUUAAAAAACUAAAAUUUAUCUGUGGGACGAGAAGACCCUAUAGAUCUUUAUAAAAUUAGUCAUUGAGUUUUAUUGUUUAUUAUGGGGCUCAAUUGUUUAAUUUUAUUUAAUUGGGGUGAUUGCAGAACAUUCACAACUUCUGUUUUAAUAAUUCAUUAAUUAGUGUUUUAAUGAUCCAUUUAUAAUGAUUAUAAGAUUAAGUUACCUUAGGGAUAACAGCGUAAUUUUUUCGGAGAGUUCAUAUCGAUGAAGGAGUUUGCGACCUCGAUGUUGGAUUAAAAUAAGUAUUAGGUGUAGCAAUUUAAUUACUAGGUCUGUUCGACCUUUAAUAUUUUACAUGAUCUGAGUUCAGACCGGCGUAAGCCAGGUCAGUUUCUAUCUUCAGUUUUAUUAAUUAUGUUUUAGUACGAAAGGACCAAACAUAGGGAAUAAUUUUUAUUUAUUUGAUUAAUAGU
This 1254-nucleotide ribosomal RNA is filed under the name Peirates arcuatus. RNAcentral's name for it is "16S ribosomal RNA". The stretch from base 819 to 1184 matches the Rfam family "Bacterial large subunit ribosomal RNA", at positions 2073 to 2647 of the family's 2925-position model. Lineage: Eukaryota; Metazoa; Arthropoda; Insecta; Hemiptera; Reduviidae. The record is from RNAcentral.